CCUACGGGUGGCUGCAGUGGGGAAUAUUGCACAAUGGGGGAAACCCUGAUCCAGCAACGCCGCGUGAGUGAGGAAGUAUUUCGGUAUGUAAAGCUCUAUUAGCAGGGAAUAGAAAAGAAGGUACCUGAACAAGAAGCCCCGGCUAACUACGUGCCAGCAGCCGCGGUAAUACGUAGGGGGCAAGCGGUAUGCGGAUUUAAUGGGGGUAAAGGGAGCGUAGACGGGAAGGCAAGUCAGAAGGGAAAACCCAGGGCUCAACCAUGGGACUGCUUUUGAAACUGUCAAACUAGAGUACGGGAGAGGUAAGAGGAAUGCCUGGUGUAGCGGUGAAAUGCGUAGAUAUUAGGAGGAACACCAGUGGCGAAGGCGGCUUACUGGACCGAAACUGACGUUGAGGCUCGAAAGCGUGGGGAGCAAACAGGAUUAGAUACCCCAGUAGUC
Molecule: ribosomal RNA, 441 nt
Filed under: uncultured bacterium
Lineage: Bacteria
Description: partial 16S ribosomal RNA
Rfam family: Bacterial small subunit ribosomal RNA
Source: RNAcentral